Molecule: long non-coding RNA, 1686 nt
Organism: Helianthus annuus (common sunflower)
Lineage: Eukaryota; Viridiplantae; Streptophyta; Magnoliopsida; Asterales; Asteraceae
Exons: 5
Source: RefSeq, a predicted model, not a curated record
CUGAUAAUUAUUAACAUUUGCUCACUAUGUUUGAAAAUGGAUCCUGGAUUUUCUGCUUCAACCCGACUCAUCUCAAUAGAUUCCAUAUAAGCGCGUCGUGGGCUCACUUUCGUCGCACCAUCCUCCAUUAUCUCUACUUCUCAUUCUCUUUCGCGAGUAUAACUUCAGUAACCGUACCAACCACAAACCAGACCCAUAGACGCUCGCCACCACUUCUGGUCCAAUCAACAACUUCGUUUUUUAGGAUUCAGACAAAUUCAUAACAAGCAUGAGGUAUAAGAAGACUUGCCGAGCAUACCUUAAAUGGCGUCUUGUUCAACAUCAUCCAUUAAAGAAAAUUAAUAACAUGUCGUGUUCUUGAGAUUUAAGAUCAAAUUAAAUGGUGAGACUGCCUUAAUUACACUCAAUUGGCAAGUGUAUCGGUCGUGAUAUAGUAAAGUCGGUAAGACCAUGUAUCAAUCCAAGGACACAAUGGCGCGUCUCUCGAUACUAAACCUCUGUCGAGUCAUGAGACAAAAGGAAUGUUUGUAGGAAGUUGUCAGUUUUGCAAGAAGGUGUAUAAAAAGUCGCUAAUUCAAUCAGCGACAUACCUAAAAUCACUCAGUUAAUCAGUGGCCACCUAGAACCACCCUUUUGAUGUUGAAACCACCUAUAUGUGCAAAAAAUUAGAAAAAUCUUAGCGGAAUGUUACAAACCGAAAGCCAUUGAAAUCUUCACAUGAAACAAGUAGAUAAUUAGUGGUGCGAGAUGGAGAAAUUGUUCAUCUCGUUGUUGGCGAUCAAUUAGAGAACAAAUAGAUUUCGAAUAUGAUCUUCAAUUAGUUGUUGAAUUUAUGGAUUUCAGAAGUUGGUUCGAAAAUAGGAGACACUAAACUACUAUGUAUGCAUGCACCCCUCAUAUAAUGACUAACACAACUAAUUAUAUAACUAACUAUUAUAACGACUUUAACUAACUACGAAUAGAUAGGUGAAAGACCUGGCCACCAAGACUACAGUGAAAAUUGUGAAAAGUUUGGAUUUUUCUAUAGUAUAGCUGGCGCUUAUACCAAGGUUUGGGAACGAGAAGUUUGGAGUGUGUGUAACAAGGCUGCAGAAUCUGAAUAUUGUUGACAAUGAGCUCAGAUUUGAGUGGAAUAAAUGGGCACCGAUCAAAGUCAACUUUUUAGCUUGGAGGGUGGCUAGAAAUCGAGUAUCGACAAAGGUGGAAUUGGCGAGAACCGAGAAGACAUGUUCCAGUGGGUUCCUCUCAGCUGUGUUUUGUGUAAUGAUGUGGAGGAGACGGCGGAACAUCUCUUUAUUUAUUAACAUUUUGCUCACAAGAUUUGGGACCUUGUAUAACUGGUGCAUGUUCACACACAUGUGAGCGAGUCUCGAAGAUGGAAGACUGCAUUGUACACGAUCGUCCAGUCGACUAUUUGAUGUCUUUGGAAGUGCAGGAACAACUUUAUUUUUCAGCAAAGCCCUGCUAACUUUGGAACGGUUAUGGAGGAAAUUAAGGUUCUCCAAUUCUUGUGGCUGAAAAAUCGGUCUAAGGCGAGAGGUUUAACCUGGGAACAAUGGUUUUGAUUUGUCAGGUUUGGGUGUAUGAAUGUUUGUUUUGGUUUGGGUCUGAUGUAAUACUCUUUGGUGUAAUAUGUCGGGCUAACGUUUUUGUUGGCUCGUUUUAUAAGUAAUAAAGUAUGUUUUG